UGUAAGACCAUGUUUGGGACAUGGCAUCGACUUAAUGGAUGAGACAGUGUAAGAUCAUGUCUGGGACAUAGCAUCGGUAUUAUACCCUAUGUUUAAGGCUUAGUGAAUAUCCGAUAGCUUUCCAAAUGGUUCAACGGUGAGAGUUGCAAGUUAAGCUAAAUGAGAAAUGUUAUGACCAUAUUGUGAGUGGUACAGGUACUUACAUGACUUUGAU
RNAcentral lists this long non-coding RNA (214 nucleotides) under Gossypium barbadense (sea-island cotton). RNAcentral describes it as "long non-coding RNA (GBAR_LNC000709)". The record is from RNAcentral. Lineage: Eukaryota; Viridiplantae; Streptophyta; Magnoliopsida; Malvales; Malvaceae.